Molecule: small RNA, 877 nt
Filed under: uncultured Cystofilobasidium
Lineage: Eukaryota; Fungi; Basidiomycota; Tremellomycetes; Cystofilobasidiales; Cystofilobasidiaceae
Description: eukaryotic LSU rRNA
Rfam family: Eukaryotic large subunit ribosomal RNA (bases 591-877)
Source: RNAcentral
CUUGGUCAUUUAGAGGAAGUAAAAGUCGUAACAAGGUUUCCGUAGGUGAACCGCGGAAGGAUCACUAAAGAAUUCGCCCUUCGGGGCUCUCUUUAUUCACACACCCCUGUGCACUUUGGCCACCUCUUUGUUGAGGUGUGUCUUUUUAAUUACCAUACCCUAUAAACACAAGUUAUUGAAUGUAAAAUCGUUAUAAACUAAUAUAACUUUCAACAACGGAUCUCUUGGUUCUCGCAUCGAUGAAGAACGCAGCGAAUUGCGAUAAGUAAUGUGAAUUGCAGAAUUCAGUGAAUCAUCGAAUCUUUGAACGCAUCUUGCGCUCUUUGGUAUUCCGAAGAGCAUGCCUGUUUGAGUGUCAUGAAACUCUCACCUCCAAUCUUUUUUAACUAGAAGGUUGGGGCGUGGACGUGAGUGCUGCUGGUGCCCUGGUUGCAUCGGCUCACUUGAAAUUCAUUAGCUGAAUCCUUUAAAGUAGGUUCUACUCGACGUGAUAAGAUCUCCGUCGAGGACAGUGCUUCGGCAUUGGCCAACGAUAAAGUUGAUACGCUUCUAAUUAGCGCAGACUUCGAGUGCUGGCAAUUUUGACAACUUGGCCUCAAAUCAGGUAGGACUACCCACUGAACUUAAGCAUAUCAAUAAGUGGAGGAAAAGAAACUAACAAGGAUUCCCCUAGUAACGGCGAGUGAAGCGGGAAGAGCUCAAAUUUAAAAUCUGGCAGUCUACGAUUGUCCGAAUUGUAAUCUCGAGAAGUGUUUUCCGCGUUGGCCUGUGCACAAGUCCCUUGGAACAGGGCGUCAUAGAGGGUGAGAAUCCCGUCCUUGGCACAGAUACCCAAUGCUUUGUGAUACACUCUCAAUGAGUCGAGUUGUUUGGGAAU